Molecule: ribosomal RNA, 484 nt
Filed under: uncultured bacterium
Lineage: Bacteria
Description: partial 16S ribosomal RNA
Rfam family: Bacterial small subunit ribosomal RNA
Source: RNAcentral
GUUGAACGCUGGCGGCAGGCCUAACACAUGCAAGUCGAGUGGAUGAAGGGUGCUAGCACCUGGAUUCAGCGGCGGACGGGUGGGUAAUGCCUAAGAAUCUGCCUGUUAGUGGGUGAUAUCGCCCCGAGACAGGGGGUCAUAUCGCAUACGUCGCGGGGGCGAAAGAGGGGGAUCUUUGGAAAUCACGCUAUCAGAUGAGACUAGGUCGCGUUUGCUAGUUGGUGAGGUGGAGGCCUACCAAGGCAACGAUACGAACAUGGGCUGCUAGGAUGAGCAGACACACUGGAACUGAGACACGGUCAAGCCGCCUACGGGAGGCAGCAGGGGGGAAGAUUGGACAAUGGGCGAAAGCCUGAUCCACUGAUGCCGCGUGUGUGAAUAAGGUCUUAGGAUUGUAAAGCAGUAUACCUCGGGAGGAAGAGCAGUAAGUUCAUAUCUUGCGGUCUUGACGUUACCAAAAGAGUAAGCACCGGCUAACUACGUG